UACGUAGGGUGCGAGCGUUAAUCGAAAUUACUGGGCGUAAAGCGUGCGCAGGCGGUUUGUUAAGUCUGAUGUGAAAGCCCCGGGCUCGACCUGGGAACUGCAUUGGAAACUGGCAAGCUCGAGUAUGGCAGAGGGGGGUGGAAUUCCGCGUGUAGCAGUGAAAUGCGUAGAUAUGUGGAGGAACACCGAUGGCGAAGGCAGCCCCCUGGGUCAAGAUUGACGCUCAUGCACGAAAGCGUGGGGAGCAAACAGG
Molecule: ribosomal RNA, 253 nt
Filed under: uncultured prokaryote
Description: partial 16S ribosomal RNA
Rfam family: Bacterial small subunit ribosomal RNA
Source: RNAcentral